This 330-nucleotide ribosomal RNA is filed under the name uncultured eukaryote. Its description in RNAcentral is "partial 18S ribosomal RNA". It matches the Rfam family "Eukaryotic small subunit ribosomal RNA", at positions 1470 to 1796 of the family's 1831-position model. The record is from RNAcentral.
CCCUUAGAUGUUCUGGGCCGCACGCGCGCUACACUGAUGCAUUCAACGAGUCUAAAACCUGGUCUGAUAGGGCUGGGUAAUCUUUUGAAAGUGCAUCGUGAUUGGGAUAGAUGACUGCAAUUCUUCAUCUUCAACGAGGAAUGCCUAGUAAACGCAAGUCAUCAGCUUGCAUUGAUUACGUCCCUGCCCUUUGUACACACCGCCCGUCGCUCCUACCGAUUGAAUGAUCCGAUGAAUACCAUGGAUUGAGAGUACGAAUGGGUUCGCUCAUUUCUGCUGCUCGAGAAGUGGAGUAAAUCUUAUCAUUUAGAGGAAGGAGAAGUCGUAACA